AAAUUUAACACCAAUAUAGAUAAUUUAGUAGAGACCACCUGAAUCAAUUGAAAGUACCAGGAGGGACUAGGCAGCUGAGGGCUAAUUAGGGCGCACAAAUUCCAGGGGUAGGUUCCUGCAUUGGCUGAUCGCGGGGAUCCGUGGUCGUGCCAUCUAGGCCAUUGUAGGGCCCUAGG
This is a long non-coding RNA of Bufo bufo (common toad), 176 nucleotides long. RefSeq lists it as uncharacterized. NCBI's taxonomy places the organism in Eukaryota, Metazoa, Chordata, Amphibia, Anura, Bufonidae. The record is from RefSeq and is a predicted model, not a curated record. The transcript is spliced from 3 exons.